This 546-nucleotide ribosomal RNA is filed under the name uncultured Methanosarcinales archaeon. RNAcentral describes it as "bacterial SSU rRNA". It matches the Rfam family "Archaeal small subunit ribosomal RNA", at positions 339 to 886 of the family's 1478-position model. Lineage: Archaea; Methanobacteriati; Methanobacteriota; Methanomicrobia; Methanosarcinales. The record is from RNAcentral.
GCGCGAAAACUUUACAAUGCGGGAAACCGCGAUAAGGGGACACUGAGUGCCAGCACCAUGUGUUGGCUGUCCGCAUGUAUAAAUCACAUGUGUUAGCAAGGGCCGGGCAAGACCGGUGCCAGCCGCCGCGGUAACACCGGCGGCCCGAGUGGUGGCCAUUAUUAUUGGGUCUAAAGGGUCCGUAGCCGGUUUGAUCAGUCUUCCGGGAAAUCUGACAGCUCAACUGUUAGGCUUCUGGGGGAUACUGUCAGACUUGGAACCGGGAGAGGUAAGAGGUACUACAGGGGUAGGAGUGAAAUCUUGUAAUCCUUGUGGGACCACCAGUGGCGAAGGCGUCUUACCAGAACGGGUUCGACGGUGAGGGACGAAAGCUGGGGGCACGAACCGGAUUAGAUACCCGGGUAGUCCCAGCCGUAAACGAUGCUCGCUAGGUGUCUGGGAUGGUGCGACCGUUUCAGGUGCCGCAGGGAAGCCGUGAAGCGAGCCACCUGGGAAGUACGGCCGCAAGGCUGAAACUUAAAGGAAUUGGCGGGGGAGCGACUAACG